CAGUCGCCGCGGUAAAACGUAGGUGGCAAGCGUUGUCCGGAAUUAUUGGGCGUAAAGGGCUCGCGGGCGGUUUCUUAAGUCUGAUGUGAAAGCCCCCGGCUCAACCGGGGAGGGUCAUUGGAAACUGGGAAACUUGAGUGCAGAAGAGGAGAGUGGAAUUCCACGUGUAGCGGUGAAAUGCGUAGAGAUGUGGAGGAACACCAGUGGCGAAGGCGACUCUCUGGUCUGUAACUGACGCUGAGGAGCGAAAGCGUGGGGAGCGAACAGGAUUAGAUACCCCGGUAGUCCCUGUCUCUUAUAC
This 301-nucleotide ribosomal RNA is filed under the name uncultured bacterium. Its description in RNAcentral is "partial 16S ribosomal RNA". It matches the Rfam family "Bacterial small subunit ribosomal RNA", at positions 509 to 807 of the family's 1533-position model. The record is from RNAcentral.